UGCAGUCGAACGGCAGCACAGGAGAGCUUGCUCUCUGGGUGGCGAGUGGCGGACGGGUGAGGAAUACAUCGGAAUCUACCUUUUCGUGGGGGAUAACGUAGGGAAACUUACGCUAAUACCGCAUACGACCUACGGGUGAAAGUGGGGGACCGCAAGGCCUCACGCGAUUAGAUGAGCCGAUGUCCGAUUAGCUAGUUGGCGGGGUAAUGGCCCACCAAGGCGACGAUCGGUAGCUGGUCUGAGAGGAUGAUCAGCCACACUGGAACUGAGACACGGUCCAGACUCCUACGGGAGGCAGCAGUGGGGAAUAUUGGACAAUGGGCGCAAGCCUGAUCCAGCCAUACCGCGUGGGUGAAGAAGGCCUUCGGGUUGUAAAGCCCUUUUGUUGGGAAAGAAAUCCUGUCGAUUAAUACUCGGUGGGGAUGACGGUACCCAAAGAAUAAGCACCGGCUAACUUCGUGCCAGC
This 466-nucleotide ribosomal RNA is filed under the name Pseudoxanthomonas sp. SA_15. RNAcentral's name for it is "bacterial SSU rRNA". It matches the Rfam family "Bacterial small subunit ribosomal RNA", at positions 56 to 512 of the family's 1533-position model. The record is from RNAcentral. Lineage: Bacteria; Pseudomonadati; Pseudomonadota; Gammaproteobacteria; Lysobacterales; Lysobacteraceae.